CGCCUGUUUUNUUAAAAACAUGUCUUUUUGAUUAUAAUUUAAGGUUUAAUCUGCUCAAUGAUUAUUUAAAUUGCCGCAGUAUUUUGACUGUGCAAAGGUAGCAUAAUAAUUAGUUUCUUUAUUGGGAACUGGAAUGAAUGAUUGGACGAGAAAAUUUCUGUCUCUUUAUUAUUUUAAUUGAAUUUUACUUUUAAGUUAAAAGGCUUAAAUUUUAUUAGAGGACGAGAAGACCCUAUAGAGUUUAAUUUUUAUUUAAAUAAUUAUUUUUAGUAUUUAUAUAUAUUAUUUAAAUAAAAAUUUAGUUGGGGUGACUAAAAGAUAAGAAUAACUCUUUUAAUUUUUAUCAAUUAUUUUUGAUUAUAAAAUCUUUAUUUUUAAUUUUAAAAUAAAUUACCUUAGGGAUAACAGCGUAAUUCUUUUUUAAAGUUCUUAUUGAAAGAAGAGUUUGCGACCUCGAUGUUGGAUUAAAAUUAAUUUUAGGUGUAGAAGCUUGAAAAUUAAGUCUGUUCGACUUUUAAAAUUUUACAUGAUCUGAGUUUAAACCGGUGUGAGCCAGGUUGGUUUCUAUCCUUAAUUAUAUAUUAUACUUUA
RNAcentral lists this ribosomal RNA (591 nucleotides) under Pteroptyx tener. Its description in RNAcentral is "partial large subunit ribosomal RNA". It matches the Rfam family "Bacterial large subunit ribosomal RNA", at positions 1797 to 2665 of the family's 2925-position model. The record is from RNAcentral. Lineage: Eukaryota; Metazoa; Arthropoda; Insecta; Coleoptera; Lampyridae.